ACGCACGCUGGCGGCGUGCUUCACCCAUGCAAGUCGAACGGUGAAGCUCCAGCUUGCUGGAGUGGAUCAGUGGCGAACGGGUGAGUAACACGUGAGCAACCUGCCCCUGACUCUGGAAUAAGCGCUGGAAACGGCGUCUAAUACUGGAUACGAGAAGGGUCCGCAUGGGCACUUUCUGGAAAGUUUUUCGGUUGGGGAUGGGCUCGCGGCCUAUCAGCUUGUUGGUGAGGUAAUGGCUCACCAAGGCGACGACGGGUAGCCGGCCUGAGAGGGCGACCGGCCACACUGGGACUGAGACACGGCCCAGACUCCUACGGGAGGCAGCAGUGGGGAAUAUUGCACAAUGGGCGAAAGCCUGAUGCAGCGACGCCGCGUGAGGGAUGACGGCCUUCGGGUUGUAAACCUCUUUCAGCAGGGAAGAAGCGAAAGUGACGGUACCUGCAGAAGAAGCACCGGCUAACUACGUG
Molecule: ribosomal RNA, 467 nt
Filed under: uncultured bacterium
Lineage: Bacteria
Description: partial 16S ribosomal RNA
Rfam family: Bacterial small subunit ribosomal RNA
Source: RNAcentral